GAUGAACGCUGGCGGCGUGCUUAACACAUGCAAGUCGAACGAUGAAGCCCAGCUUGCUGGGUGGAUUAGUGCCGAACGGGUGAGUAACACGUGAGUAACCUGCCCUUAACUCUGGGAUAAGCCUGGGAAACUGGGUCUAAUACCGGAUAGGAGCGUCCACCGCAUGGUGGGUGUUGGAAAGAUUUAUCGGUUUUGGAUGGACUCGCGGCCUAUCAGCUUGUUGGUGAGGUAAUGGCUCACCAAGGCGACGACGGGUAGCCGGCCUGAGAGGGUGACCGGCCACACUGGGACUGAGACACGGCCCAGACUCCUACGGGAGGCAGCAGUGGGGAAUAUUGCACAAUGGGCGCAAGCCUGAUGCAGCGACGCCGCGUGAGGGAUGACGGCCUUCGGGUUGUAAACCUCUUUCAGUAGGGAAGAAGCGAAAGUGACGGUACCUGCAGAAGAAGCACCGGCUAACUACGUG
Molecule: ribosomal RNA, 466 nt
Filed under: uncultured bacterium
Lineage: Bacteria
Description: partial 16S ribosomal RNA
Rfam family: Bacterial small subunit ribosomal RNA
Source: RNAcentral